This is a long non-coding RNA of Nicotiana attenuata, 1188 nucleotides long. RefSeq lists it as uncharacterized. The transcript is spliced from 7 exons. NCBI's taxonomy places the organism in Eukaryota, Viridiplantae, Streptophyta, Magnoliopsida, Solanales, Solanaceae. The record is from RefSeq and is a predicted model, not a curated record.
GAAUGCAGUAUUUACCAUAACUCAGAAGGUAAGAAAAUUAUGUUGUAUUUAAGAUAUGCACAAUAUUAUUUCUUAAUUUUUCACUAUCUAUAGAUAUUUCAUUCCUGACUAUAUUAUUUUCUGCUUAUGCAUGUCUACUUCUGAAUAUUUUGUGUCAAUUUGGUAGUAAAAACUGGCACUGAAAGGAACUCAAUUAAAAUAAAGGCUAUAUGAACGAAAUCCUCAAAGAGUGUGAUUCAAUGAUAAGGGCCUUAUUGUUAACCGGAAAUCUGGGGAAUAAUCAAUCUUCUUUUACCAAAAUGAGACAUUGUUGCUUCUUUCAAGGAUUGAAGUUUAUGGAAAGAGAGCUGGAAAGCUCACUAGCUUUUAGUAGCUUUUUGACUGAGUUUGAAGCGAUUCACCAAGAUGAAAAAAAGUUCAAGGAUCAUGCGUCUGAAGAAUUCCUGAAAUUUACUUAGGUAACUUUGCUAAAUGUCACAGUUAUGAGGAUCUGCCGACAAAAUGAUGUUGGGGGAGCAAUACUCAGUUUUAUAUCCAUUUUCCUUUCUUCGAAGCUAACCCCACCAUUAGCAGAAAAGAAGUGGCUUGAAGGUGCUAAAAGAAGCUCUUGACAUAAAUCUUUGUGGCAAGCGAUCGAUACACUUCUUGAGAUGCUUAGCAAGGACAGCAAAACACCUGAUGUGUUCAUUUAAAUGGAAACCAUGAGACGUGUUCGUAUAGGGAUGGCUUAAGUAUUUCUCAGAAAACAUAUCCAUAACUGGUAUUUUACUUCAUGGGCGAAUUCCAAGUAAUCACUGUUGGCUCAAGCAAGUGGGGAGGAGAGAAGGGGAAGGAUCUCAACUUCAUAGCUAAUACCAGUUGCGAAAAGAGAAGCGGGACAAGUUUCCACUGAUACAAAAUGUCCACUGACCCUCAUUCCAGAGAACAGUUCUUCUCAUACUCUAGAAUCUAAAAAUUCGGAAUUGGACAUGCGGCUGAAUUUGAUACUUUCAUCAAAUACUAUUGCAAAAAGAAGGCUUAUAGCAAUGAAGUUCUAUUGAGUGACUGACUUUUACAAGAAGUGCAAUUUCUUUUGUACGGUUGCCCUUGCAUAUUUCAUAUUGUGUAUGACAUAAUUACUGAAAUGAAUGUACAUUGUAUGGAGAUAUUAUGUAAAUAUCUAAUCAGCAUGAUUAUAUGUUUUCUUUA